RNAcentral lists this ribosomal RNA (401 nucleotides) under Vibrio parahaemolyticus. RNAcentral describes it as "bacterial SSU rRNA". It matches the Rfam family "Bacterial small subunit ribosomal RNA", at positions 1142 to 1533 of the family's 1533-position model. The record is from RNAcentral. Lineage: Bacteria; Pseudomonadati; Pseudomonadota; Gammaproteobacteria; Vibrionales; Vibrionaceae.
AGGGAGACUGCCGGUGAUAAACCGGAGGAAGGUGGGGACGACGUCAAGUCAUCAUGGCCCUUACGAGUAGGGCUACACACGUGCUACAAUGGCGCAUACAGAGGGCAGCCAACUUGCGAGAGUGAGCGAAUCCCAAAAAGUGCGUCGUAGUCCGGAUUGGAGUCUGCAACUCGACUCCAUGAAGUCGGAAUCGCUAGUAAUCGUGGAUCAGAAUGCCACGGUGAAUACGUUCCCGGGCCUUGUACACACCGCCCGUCACACCAUGGGAGUGGGCUGCAAAAGAAGUAGGUAGUUUAACCUUCGGGGGGACGCUUACCACUUUGUGGUUCAUGACUGGGGUGAAGUCGUAACAAGGUAGCGCUAGGGGAACCUGGCGCUGGAUCACCUCCUUAAACGAUGAU